RNAcentral lists this ribosomal RNA (468 nucleotides) under uncultured bacterium. RNAcentral's name for it is "partial 16S ribosomal RNA". It matches the Rfam family "Bacterial small subunit ribosomal RNA", at positions 28 to 507 of the family's 1533-position model. The record is from RNAcentral.
GAUGAACGCUGGCGGCGUGCUUAACACAUGCAAGUCGAACGGAAAGGCCCGGCUCUUGUGGGGUGCUCGAGUGGCGAACGGGUGAGUAACACGCGAGUAACCUGCCCUUGACUUUGUGAUAACUUUAGGAAACUGGGGCUAAUACCGGAUAGGAGCUCCUGCUGCAUGUUGGGGGUUGGAAAGUUUCGGCGGUUGGGGAUGGACUCGCUGCUUAUCAGCUUGUUGGUGGAGUAGUGGCUUACCAAGGUUUUGACGGGUAGCCGGCCUGAGAGGGUGACCGGGCACAAUGGGACUGAGGUACGGCGCAGACGGCAACGGGAGGCAGUGGUGGGGAAUAUUGCACAGUGGGCGGGCGCGUGAUGCGGAGGCGUCGCGUGCGGAAAGACGGCUUUCGGGUUGUGAACCGCUUUCGCCUGAGACGAGGAGUGAGUGACGGUAAUGGGUAAAGAAGCACCGGCUAACUACGUG